GCCGAUGUGGUGAAAUUGGUAGACACGAUAGAUUCAAAAUCUUUUCCUAGUGAUAGGGUGCUGGUUCGAGUCCGGUCAUCGGCA
Molecule: transfer RNA, 84 nt
Filed under: Simkaniaceae bacterium
Lineage: Bacteria; Pseudomonadati; Chlamydiota; Chlamydiia; Parachlamydiales; Simkaniaceae
Description: tRNA-Leu
Rfam family: tRNA
About the family: Transfer RNA (tRNA) molecules are approximately 80 nucleotides in length. Their secondary structure includes four short double-helical elements and three loops (D, anti-codon, and T loops).
Source: RNAcentral